GACGAUGAGGGUAAAUUGUUGUUACUCAGCAAAGGCGCUGACAGCAUAAUGUUCGAAAGGCUUGCAAAGAGUGGAAGAACAUUCGAGGAAAAGACAAGGGAGCAUAUCGACGAUUAUGCGGAUGGUGGUUUGAGAACUUUGGUUCUUGCAUACCGCGAGCUCGAUGAACAAGAAUAUGAAAAUUUCAACAGAGAAUUCACAGAGGCCAAGAAUUCAGUCAGCGCGGAUAGAGAUGAUAA
RNAcentral lists this unclassified non-coding RNA (239 nucleotides) under Hevea brasiliensis (rubber tree). The record is from RNAcentral. Lineage: Eukaryota; Viridiplantae; Streptophyta; Magnoliopsida; Malpighiales; Euphorbiaceae.